UGGCAAUGUAGGAGUGGAUCUGCUUUGAUGGACCUCUUGAGAAGUCUGCACUGCUGUGCCUCAAAUUCCCCUUCUGGCUGUGCUGUGCAGUCAAGUUCCAGGCAGGUAAUGAGGACCUCUGCUGCAGCUUCUGGUCUCUGCUUCUUUACCUGGACCUGGGGAACAAAACCUGAAAGCUCAUGGUUCCUUUCAUUUUCUCCGCCCAACUAAUUUUCUGAAAUGAAGAGAAUCUGCAGGAAGAGCAAAUACUGAUCUGCUCACGAUCAAAGGCUGGGUGAUGUUCAGACCACUUACUACAAAAAUACUGGCAUUAACGGGGACAUUUUCUCCUUAGAGAAGCUCAUGCUGAGACCAUGUAUAUCUAGAUUGCCUUGGAGAACUAAGCAGAAAUGUGGCUGUAGGUGGACUCACUACUGAACCCCCAUCAGCACCAUGAAGAAAACCCCUCUGAGUAACAAUGGCAGAGCAUCUUUAAGAAGAUCUCAUGUACGUCUGAUAACAAUCUUUUCAUUCUGGAAGAUACCUGCUUUAUAGGAA
Python bivittatus (Burmese python) is the source of this 537-nucleotide non-coding RNA. NCBI's taxonomy places the organism in Eukaryota, Metazoa, Chordata, Lepidosauria, Squamata, Pythonidae. The record is from RefSeq and is a predicted model, not a curated record.